UGCAAGGGAACAAUGAAAGAAAAAGUACAAAAAAGCAAAGAUUACCCCUUGUACCUUUUGCAUAAUGAAUUAACUAGCAAAGGCUUAACAAAAUGAACUUUAGCUAAGUAACCUAAGCAGUUUACCAAGAACCAACUCGUCUAUGUGGCAACAUAGUGAGGAGAUUUGUAAGUAGAGGUGACAUGUCCAACGAGCCUGGUGAUAGCUGGUUGUUCAGCUUUAAAAAUACCAAAAAAUCCAAAUAAAUAAAGAAAUCUCCCUGUAUGUUUAAAAGUUAGUUUAAAAAGGUACAGCCUUUUAGAAAUGGAUACAACCUUAACUAGAGAGUAAGAUCCAACAAGACCAUAGUAGGCCUAAAAGCAGCCACCAAUUAAGAAAGCAUUAAAGCUCAACAAUAAAAUGACAUUAAUCCCAAUAAUAAAUAAUCAACUCCUAGUCCUAAUACUAGACUAAUCUAUUAAAAAAAAACAGAAGUAAUAAUGUUAACAGGAGUAACAAGAAGCACCUUCUCCUUGCAUAAUUUUAAGUUAUUAUCUGAUAAUACCCUAUUAACAGUGAAUAAAGAUAACCCAACAGUAAACAAUUUAUUAGCUAUACUGUUAAUCCAACACAGGAAUGCACUCCAGGAGAGAUUAAAAUAAGUAAAAGGAACUCGGCAAACAUAAACCCCACAUGUUUACCAAAAACAUCACCUCCAGCAUCCCCAGUUUUGGAGGCACUGCCAGCCCAGUGACAAUCGUUAAAGGGCUGCAGUAUCCUGACAGUGCAAAGGUAGCAUGAUCAUUUGUUCUCUAAAUAAGGACUUGUAUGAAUGGCUACACGAGGGUUUUACUAUCUCUUACUUCCAAUCAGUUAAAUUGACCUUCCCAUGAAGAGGUGGGAAUAGACUAAUAAGACGAGAAGACCCUAUGGAGCUUUAACUAACUAGUCCAAAGAAAAUAAAACUCAACCACCAGGGGAUAACAACACUCUUUAUGGACUAAUAGUUUUGGUUGGGGUGACUUCAGAGAUUCAAAAAAAAUCCUCCGAGCGAUUUUAAAGACUAGACUCACAAGUCAAAUUACACUAUCGCUUAUUGAUCCAAAAAUUUGAUCAACGGAACAAGUUACCCUAGGGAUAACAGUGCAAUCCUAUUCAAGAGCCCAUAUCGACAAUAGGGUUUAAGACCUCAAUGUUGGAUCAGGACAUCCCAAUGGUGCAACCGCUAUCAAAGGUUCACUUGUUCAACCAUUAAAGUCCUACCUGAUCUGAGUUCAGACCGGAGCAAUCCAGGUCGGUUUCUAUCUAUUACGCAUUUCUCCUAGUACG
RNAcentral lists this ribosomal RNA (1308 nucleotides) under Ovis aries (sheep). RNAcentral's name for it is "Bacterial large subunit ribosomal RNA". It matches the Rfam family "Bacterial large subunit ribosomal RNA", at positions 539 to 2685 of the family's 2925-position model. The record is from Rfam by way of RNAcentral. Lineage: Eukaryota; Metazoa; Chordata; Mammalia; Artiodactyla; Bovidae.